UGGUAGUNCACGCCGUAAACGAUGAGUGCUAGGUGUUAGGUCCNUUCCGGGACUUAGUGCCGCAGCUAACGCAUUAAGCACUCCGCCUGGGGAGUACGACCGCAAGGUUGAAACUCAAAGGAAUUGACGGGGGCCCGCACAAGCGGUGGAGCAUGUGGUUUAAUUCGAAGCAACGCGAAGAACCUUACCAGGUCUUGACAUCCCGAUGCCCGCUCUAGAGAUAGAGCUUUACUUCGGUACAUCGGUGACAGGUGGUGCAUGGUUGUCGUCAGCUCGUGUCGUGAGAUGUUNNNNNANNNNNNCGCAACGAGCGCAACCCUUAUUGUUAGUUGCCAUCAUUCAGUUGGGCACUCUAGCGAGACUGCCGGUAAUAAACCGGAGGAAGGUGGGGAUGACGUCAAAUCAUCAUGCCCCUUAUGACCUGGGCUACACACGUGCUACAAUGGCUGGUACAACGAGUCGCAAGCCGGUGACGGCAAGCUAAUCUCUGAAAGCCAGUCUCAGUUCGGAUUGUAGGCUGCAACUCGCCUACAUGAAGUCGGAAUCGCUAGUAAUCGCGGAUCAGCACGCCGCGGUGAAUACGUUCCCGGGCCU
RNAcentral lists this ribosomal RNA (594 nucleotides) under uncultured bacterium. Its description in RNAcentral is "partial 16S ribosomal RNA". It matches the Rfam family "Bacterial small subunit ribosomal RNA", at positions 788 to 1381 of the family's 1533-position model. The record is from RNAcentral.